RNAcentral lists this ribosomal RNA (468 nucleotides) under uncultured bacterium. RNAcentral's name for it is "partial 16S ribosomal RNA". It matches the Rfam family "Bacterial small subunit ribosomal RNA", at positions 28 to 507 of the family's 1533-position model. The record is from RNAcentral.
GACGAACGCUGGCGGCGUGCUUAACACAUGCAAGUCGAACGGAAAGGCCCUGCUUUUGUGGGGUGCUCGAGUGGCGAACGGGUGAGUAACACGUGAGUAACCUGCCCUUGACUUUGGGAUAACUUCAGGAAACUGGGGCUAAUACCGGAUAGGAGCUCCUGCUGCAUGGUGGGGGUUGGAAAGUUUCGGCGGUUGGGGAUGGACUCGCGGCUUAUCAGCUUGUUGGUGGGGUAGUGGCUUACCAAGGCUUUGACGGGUAGCCGGCCUGAGAGGGUGACCGGCCACAUUGGGACUGAGGUACGGCACAGACUCCUACGGGAGGCAGCAGUGGGGAAUAUUGCACAAUGAGCGGAAGCCUGAUGCAGCAACGCCGCGUGCGGGAUGACGGCCUUCGGGUUGUAGACCGCUUUCGCCUGUGACGAAGCGUGAGUGACGGUAAUGGGUAAAGAAGCACCGGCUAACUACGUG